GGUCUUCGGGGCGGGGUGAAAUUCCCUACCGGCGGUCAGAGUCCGCGAACCCGGGAACGUUAUUUCCCGGGCCGAUCCGGUGGAAUUCCGGAGCCGACAGUCAAAGUCUGGAUGAAAGAAGACG
This 124-nucleotide non-coding RNA is filed under the name uncultured Victivallis sp. RNAcentral describes it as "FMN riboswitch (RFN element)". It matches the Rfam family "FMN riboswitch aptamer (RFN element)". From Rfam's summary of the family: The RFN element is a highly conserved domain that is found frequently in the 5'-untranslated regions of prokaryotic mRNAs that encode for flavin mononucleotide (FMN) biosynthesis and transport proteins. This element is a metabolite-dependent riboswitch that directly binds FMN in the absence of proteins. Lineage: Bacteria; Pseudomonadati; Lentisphaerota; Lentisphaeria; Victivallales; Victivallaceae. The record is from RNAcentral.